This 952-nucleotide long non-coding RNA is filed under the name Marmota monax (woodchuck). Lineage: Eukaryota; Metazoa; Chordata; Mammalia; Rodentia; Sciuridae. The record is from RNAcentral.
AGGGGGGAGAAGGUCAGAGGGGUGAGUGGGUGGGGGAGUUCAGGGUAGAAAAACCCAAAGUGCUUUUCCUACUGUCACAACCACUCAGCACUACUCUUCUGACACCAGAUAGGCCAGAUUGUUUCCCCAGGUGCCAAAUGAUUCUCCUGCUGGUGUCCUCUAAUCAGACAAAGCUGACACUGUCUACCUGGAGAUAGUCCAUUCCACAGGUUGAGGGCUCAGUCCCGCAAGACUACCCCCACUUCAGAUGCCAAUCACAAGCCCCAGGUUGUGACCUGUAUUCCUGUUCAACUGGCUAUAAAUUGAGGUUCAUAUGACCUCGGCCUAUCCCAAUUCAAUUAAUUCGUGAGUAUGGCUCUCAGAAUCCAGGGAAACAUUUCAUUUCCGCUUACCGUGUAUUAUAUAUUAUAAUGGAUAUUUGUAAGGAUUUGGAUGAAGGGCAGAUGGAAGAGCUGUGUCUGGCCAAGCAUGUGGGCACACUACUCAUGUGGCCAGCAAUCCAGAAGCUUCCGGAACCUGGUCCUUUUGGCUCUCUAUGGAGGCUUCAUUAUGUAGGCGUAAUGGUGAUCAACUUGACCUUCAGCCAUUCUCCCCUCCUGAGGCUGGGAUGUGGCAGAAAUCCCCAACCUUCUAAUAGCGUCUUGGUUUUUCUGGGAUCAGGGCCCAUCCUGAACUAUCUAGUGACCUACCGCCUGUCAUCUCUUUAGCAGACAGAGACCUUAUUAUCACUUGGGAGGCUCUACAGUUUCAGGAGGUAAGUGCUGGAGCCAGGGGAGGAGACAAGAUGUAGAAGUCUCUUAUGACAUUGUGGUGUCACAGCAGGGCUCCUGGGAGUUGUGCAUUUGGGAGCGAGGGGCUUGGUGCUCAGAGCAGGAUUAUUUAGCAGUGACAAAGCAUGACAUCCUCAAAGUGGUUCUGAGUGUUCUGGAAAGGUGUGUGUGUGUGUGUGUGU